AUACGGAGGGUGCAAGCGUUACUCGGAAUCACUGGGCGUAAAGCGCGCGCAGGCGGCUAUUUAAGUUGGAUGUGAAAGCCUACGGCUCAACCGUAGAACUGCAUCCAAAACUAUUUAGCUAGAGUGUGGGAGAGGAAGAUGGAAUUAGUUGUGUAGGGGUAAAAUUCGUAGAGAUAACUAGGAAUACCAAAAGCGAAGGCAAUCUUCUGGAACACUACUGACGCUGAGGCGCGAAAGCGUGGGGAGCAAACAGGAUUAGAAACCCCAGUAGUCC
Molecule: ribosomal RNA, 274 nt
Filed under: uncultured bacterium
Lineage: Bacteria
Description: partial 16S ribosomal RNA
Rfam family: Bacterial small subunit ribosomal RNA
Source: RNAcentral